RNAcentral lists this ribosomal RNA (206 nucleotides) under uncultured bacterium. Its description in RNAcentral is "partial 16S ribosomal RNA". It matches the Rfam family "Bacterial small subunit ribosomal RNA", at positions 568 to 774 of the family's 1533-position model. The record is from RNAcentral.
CACGCAGGCGGGUGCGCGCGUGGGGUGUGAAACCGGGUGGCUUAACUGCCCGCCGCCAUCCCAUACGGCGCGCCUGGAGCCAUCCAGAGGUCGGUGGAAUUGCCGGUGUAGUGGUGAAAUGCGUAGAGAUCGGCAGGAACACCCAGGGGGAAACCAGCCGACUGGGGAUGUGCUGACGCUGAGGUGCGAGAGCGUGGGAGCGAACC